UAACUAGGAUUCCCUGAGUAGCGGCGAGCGAAACGGGAAAAGCCCAGCACUUAGCCCAUUAGUCCGUGCAGUCGACUAAUUGGGGAUGCAGUGUAUGGAGAGUUCGUUAGCUCGUCACAGUGGACGUGUGCACGUUCAAGUCCAUCUUGAAUGAGGCUAUGAUACCCAUAGAGGGUGCCAGGCCCGUGGCAACUGCCGUCCGUGACUUGUGAGCUCCUCCUAAGAGUCGUGUUGCUUGAUAGUGCAGCACUAAGUGGGUGGUAAACUCCAUCUAAGGCUAAAUACGACCACGAGACCGAUAGAGAACAAGUACCGUGAGGGAAAGUUGAAAAGAACUCUGAAUAGAGAGUUAAAAAGUACGUGAAACCGUAUAGGGGUUAAGCCCGUUGAAUCUAAAUAUCUGAAUGGUGGAAUUCAGCGCCGACUGUGUUGUUCCAACAUGGCCGGUGUGCACUUUCCGCCUAGUAGGACACUGCAAUCUGUUAGAUUGGGUACCGUAUUCGUAUGGUGCCCGGACUUAUCAAUUAUGGGUUCGCUGUAGAAUUGUUUAUCCGUUGUGUUCGACUGUGGGCUCAUGUGUGUGCGGCAGCAAUGUCGUGCGCGCACCACUUUUGUCACCUUGUGAUAAGUCUAUGUGAACACCGAUAAUGUUGAGCUGACAGAUUUACAAAAUGAAAUCAUACAUUGCACACUCGUGUGCAGCUGAUUGUGUGUGUUCGCGC
RNAcentral lists this ribosomal RNA (722 nucleotides) under Warileya sp. SZ-2015. Its description in RNAcentral is "eukaryotic LSU rRNA". It matches the Rfam family "Eukaryotic large subunit ribosomal RNA", at positions 66 to 628 of the family's 3401-position model. Lineage: Eukaryota; Metazoa; Arthropoda; Insecta; Diptera; Psychodidae. The record is from RNAcentral.